Helianthus annuus (common sunflower) is the source of this 826-nucleotide long non-coding RNA. RefSeq lists it as uncharacterized. The record is from RefSeq and is a predicted model, not a curated record. NCBI's taxonomy places the organism in Eukaryota, Viridiplantae, Streptophyta, Magnoliopsida, Asterales, Asteraceae. The transcript has 3 exons.
CAUCAUUCAAACUAAACUGCCGAAAGUUUUGGGAUACGAUUCUGGGAUCAACGUUCCUUAUAAACCUUUCUCGUAAUCAUUUAUGAAUUCCGUUUACGCUUAUCCCGUUAUCACCACCGAUCACCACUUACCAUCCACCGUGAACCACCGUGAUCACCUUGUUCGUCGAAGCUUUCCGUCGUGCCACCGGUUGCGUCACGACCAGCUAUUCAGGAGCAGCCGCAUCCAAUGUCGUGAUAACCACCACACCUCCGUUCGAUCGUCCGCACCACCACACAACCUUACCGCCAAGAGCCGUUCGCCACCGCACCAUCGUUCGAAGUUAUUUUGUUUGUUCCGUUCGACGCCGCGGUUGCCAUAUUCAUCUGUUGUCUCCAGAUUUUCGGUUUGACACAGCCACCGCACCGUUCAGGUUCUUGAUUUUUCAAGGUCGACUUGAUUAAGUGGUUUUGCUUUGCUUGCUAAUUAAGGUAAUUUGGGGAAACAUGGGGAAUAAGUGAAGAGUGUUCUGAAGAUAAAGAUAUUUUUUUUUAUUUCGGUGAUGUAAUGAAAAUGUAAUUAGGAUCUUUGUUUUCAACGUUAUGGAUAGGUUUUAGUUUUGAUAUCUGUAUGGUGACAUGCCAGCCCGUUCUGGGUUGGGGUGUUACACCUCGUCAGCCACAACAUUGUUAUUCAUAAAAAAAAUAUUAUGCCAUGAAAUGUGCAUGUUUUUAAAUACAUAAAAACUUGUGACCCAACAUUGUCACUAUCUCUCUCAUCAAAUUUAAAUUGGGCGACAUGGUUGUCCAAAUCGCUCGCACUUCGCUCGACGCUCGCUCGGAAUUUU